Non-coding RNA from Elaeis guineensis (African oil palm), 2829 nucleotides. The record is from RefSeq and is a predicted model, not a curated record. Lineage: Eukaryota; Viridiplantae; Streptophyta; Magnoliopsida; Arecales; Arecaceae.
CUGCCAACUAAUUUGCUGGGCGAUUUUCUUUUGUAUGUAUAUGAGAAAGUUUAAGGGUCAAAAUAUUCUGGAACAAGGGAUGAGUAACGGAGAGGAAGAACGCCGUGAGACACGACCGAUCUAUUGAUUGGUUGAUUUCCGGCCUGUUGCACCGGUGUCACCCAAAAAAGGGCGGGCGUCCGACGUACGCUACACCGACGUUGGAACAGACCGAUCUUUACCAAUGCGACCCCUUCUCCUCCUUUUUCCUUCUGGAUUCUUGGUCCUUUUGUUUCUUUUCUUAGCCUCCCUCUCUGUGCUGGCCGGCCUCGUGGUCGUGGUCAAAGAAAAGGAGUCGAAACUACUCUGAUUUGAUUGUUCCCUCCUUUUUUGCGUCUUUUUUUCCAACGUAUUCUUCAUCGGAUAUCCUCUGUUCAUCAAGAAACCGUAGGAGGAAUCUUGAAUUUAGGCUUUUCUUAAUUUUACGCCUUUUUUUGAUGCGAUAAUUUUACCGUUUUCUGAUCGGAGAUUCUCGAGAUUAGGGUUCUCUGAUCGCCGCUAUUUUAUCGUAGCGAGAACUUUAAGGAGUUUCGAAUCUCUCACCAUUGCUGAAUUCUUGCUUGAUUUCUUGAAUUCGGUUUUCUAUUGUAUGCAUCCGAUUCUUUUCCGUUUCUUACUUCUUUUCGAUCAUGAGCAAGUCCUGAAAACCCAGGCGUGCUUCACCCCACCCACCCAACACAGUUCUUCACUCUCGGCACUCGAUCUUGAGGCGGAUUUUUUUUUUCCUUUUUUAACUUUCUUUUCCUUUUAUCAAGCUUAGGUUUUCUUGAAAGUAUGAUCUCAAGAUGAUUAAACUAGCUUCAGGCUUAAGUUUCUUCUCGAGGAUGCGCAGUUCCUUUUGUGGCCUCAUGAUUCUCCUUGGCUGCAAUUAAGAUAUAUCUGGAUUUCUUGUGCAGCUGCUUCAAGGGAGUGGAACUGGUAACCCACACCAUUCAGCCCGGGGACACACUCUUCUCUCCUUUCAAGGUGGGCAUUGGCGAGGCUAAGAAUCUGAACAGGAUAGGUGACGCUUCUUUCAUCCAUGUUGGAGGGAGUGGUGCGUGGGAGAAACACUGGCGUGAAAAAGAAAAGAAGAAGAAGAGGAAGAAGAAGAGAGGCAGGCUGGCUAGAGAGAGCUUCUCCAAGAAAAGAGAGAGGAAGAGAAAACAUUUGUUUUAAAGAGGUGGAACAAGGUCUUCCUGUAGAGCAUCUCCUUGGGUUGUAGUUGCUGGAGAUCCAGGGCUAAGCAGCACUUUCAUAGAUAGAGCAUGUGGAUUGAAGUGGCCAUGGAUAGUAAUUCUCAAAGGGUCAUUGCAUUCGCAACUUUAAUCUAUCCUUGAGAGGAUCGAAUCAACUCCAAAGAAGGACCAGAUGACAUGGUUUUAGUUGCUGGAAUUGGGUGCAGGAGCAGGUGCGAGUGCGAUUGCAGGAAAGUGGAUACUUUAGAAUCACUUUUAGUAACUUAGCACUUAGGAAGUUGGUGUGGGUCUGAGAUUCUCAGAAGAUUCUGAAGUUGAUGCAUUACCCUGGGAAGGAGAUUGUAGCGGGCAAGAACCUGGCCUUUAACUUUUCUUGAGGAUAUCUCUUAACCAACACAUUCUUCAUGAACCAAAUGAACAUUAAAUAGCGUAUGAAAAAUAAAGAACUGAGAUACUUAUCCCAGAAUUAUAUGAGAAGUCAUUCUCUGGAUCCUCUAAAUCAGGCAGUCAGCUACCUUCUGGUUUUGCUAUGCAACUGUAUAAUUUUCUUUCUACCAUAAAAGGCUUGCCUCUCAUAUACUUACAAGAAAAUAUUCAGAUGUGAUCCUAUCGAGAAAGCACCCAGCUGGUGGAAAUUGUUGAUCUGCAUCUUAUCGACUAUGACAAGGAAUCUCUUCUUCAGGUUUUGCAUAUUUCUUUUCUUUUGCAGUAACUUUCAAGACAUUAUCGAGACAUGCUUGUAUAAUUGACUGAGGCUGAUUCAUAUAUCAGUGAUAAUAGGGAAUUAGACAUACUUGAUCAACAAUUCUAUUUGGCCAUGUAGAUACAAUCACAUAGAUGAAAUUUCUUGCCCGACUUGUAUUACUUUGAUGAAGCAAGCUACCUCGUUCUUGGUGCGACUUUGUGAUCAUGGAAAAGCAUAAUUCUAAUUCCACAGGUUUGGUAGUGAAUCUUUUCUCAUUCCUAUCGAAGCCUUUUUCUGUUACAAGCAGUAAAUAAUAGAAAAAAUGCUCCUGGAAGAUGCCGAAAGGCAUCAUGUUUCUCCAUACAAGUUUUCCUCCACCUCGUAGUUAGUGAGGUAUCAUCUUGUUUACUGCUCUAAGAAAAUGCGAAAGCAAGAUUUUGUGGUCUCUUCUUCUCUUAGCUAAUAUCAUAUUAUCAAUUGCAUUCUUUGUAUGUGGGUGUUGCAGGUUUGUAAUAUGGAAAUAGUUUCUCCACACACAGGGUCAAGGCUGCAUACAUCUGACCCUCAUCAGACCCUGCAGUGGUGGGAGCUUUGUGCACUAGGCUGCCUUUUCAUUCUUUGUUUGUGCUGAUUGGAAAGUUCGAGUUCAAGAUUUAAGGAAGAUUAUGGAGCAGGUGCAUUAUCAUCCACAUCUACCCCUUAUAUUGCACCUUCACCUGAUUCUGGCAACGAAGAGCACUCUGUGAAAUGAGAUACAAAUCUUGCAUUGGUGUGGCAUAACCGCCCUUCAAACUGGUUUUAUGUUUCAUCUCUGAUGUGUACCAAAUAAGGGAUGUACUCUUGAAUAUUAAUAUAAAGUCAGUUCUUUCUGGUAGUAAUAUAAUCUGUAUCCUCACUGCUUCCAGCUUUUAAUGCCGUAUAGUUCAU